Molecule: ribosomal RNA, 301 nt
Filed under: uncultured bacterium
Lineage: Bacteria
Description: partial 16S ribosomal RNA
Rfam family: Bacterial small subunit ribosomal RNA
Source: RNAcentral
CAGUAGCCGCGGGAAUACAGAGGGUGCAAGCGUUAAUCGGAUUUACUGGGCGUAAAGGGCGCGUAGGUGGUUAUGUAAGUGAGAUGUGAAAUCCCCGGGCUCAACCUGGGAACUGCAUCUUAUACUGCGUAGCUGGAGUGCAGUAGAGGGUAGUGGAAUUUCCGGUGUAGCGGUGAAAUGCGUAGAUAUCGGAAGGAACACCAGUGGCGAAGGCGGCUACCUGGACUGACACUGACACUGAGGCGCGAAAGCGUGGGGAGCAAACAGGAUUAGAUACCCCGGUAGUCCCUGUCUCUUAUAC